UAAUAGAUGACAGUCUAGAACCCCAAAUGAC
This 31-nucleotide non-coding RNA is filed under the name Rattus norvegicus (Norway rat). The record is from RNAcentral. Lineage: Eukaryota; Metazoa; Chordata; Mammalia; Rodentia; Muridae.